Molecule: ribosomal RNA, 440 nt
Filed under: uncultured Anaerolineaceae bacterium
Lineage: Bacteria; Bacillati; Chloroflexota; Anaerolineae; Anaerolineales; Anaerolineaceae
Description: bacterial SSU rRNA
Rfam family: Bacterial small subunit ribosomal RNA
Source: RNAcentral
CCUACGGGCGGCUGCAGUAGGGAAUAUUAGUAAUGGAGGAAACUCUGAACUAGCGAUACCGCGUGUGCGAAGAAGGCCUUCGGGUUGUAAAGCACUUUUUGAGAGGAUGAGGAAGGACGGUACUCUCAGAAUAAGUCUCGGCUAACUACGUGCCAGCAGCCGCGGUAACACGUAGGAGGCAAACGUUAUCCGGAUUUACUGGGCGUAAAGCGCGUGUAGGUGGUACUGUAAGUAGGGCGUGAAAGCUCCUGGCUCAACUGGGAGAGGCCGUUCUAAACUGCAGAACUCGAGUUUGGUAGAGGAAGAUGGAAUUCCAGGUGUAGCGGUAAAAUGCGCAGAUAUCUGGAGGAACACCAGUGGCGAAAGCGGUCUUCUAGACCAAUACUGACACUCAGACGCGAAAGCUAGGGUAGCAAACGGGCUUAGAUACCCGUGUAGUC